This 572-nucleotide long non-coding RNA is filed under the name Capsicum annuum. RNAcentral describes it as "long non-coding RNA (CANN_LNC010509)". The record is from RNAcentral. Lineage: Eukaryota; Viridiplantae; Streptophyta; Magnoliopsida; Solanales; Solanaceae.
AGCGUUUGCUUCUGUGAUAUUGCUACUCUCUUGCCAAUCGGCCUGUUGAAUGCCAUCAUCAUGAUCUCAUUCGUGUCCCUGUAAAUGCCUCCCAAUUCUAGUGUCUCCCUCAAUGCUUUUGCUCCCGUCCAUGUUGAUCAAACCAGGUAAUCGGCUCUUUAGCUACCGUUGCAAUUGUAUCUUUUUAUAAAUUUCACCCUUAUGGUCAUCAUUGGAGUCAUUCUUGAAGAAAAAUAUAUUAACUCAAAAAACAAACACCAGCUGAUUCUUCCAUUCUGUCCUAGCCUUGGUGGACAGAGUUACCUUAUCUCUUUUGUCGGUGAGAGGUAGUAGGUAUCCACUUGAUUUAGUCGAGGUAUCCGAAAGUUGGCCUCGACACCAUGAUUAUCAUUAAAAAAUGCAUGUGGUUUUUAUUCUGGAAGUGCAAAUGCAACUUUGGCCCAAAAAUGCUUGCUCCGACAUGCAAGUCCUUUUCAGCUGAUGCAUAAUCUAGUGCAAGAUAUGGGAAGAAAAAUCGUUGGCAUGGAAUCACCUCAAGAUACUUGAAAAUGGAGUAGAGUUUUUCAACUAUC